GGGGAAUUUUGGACAAUGGGCGCAAGCCUGAUCCAGCAAUGCCGCGUGAGUGAAGAAGGCCUUCGGGUUGUAAAGCUCUUUCAGUCGAGAAGAAAAGGUUGUGACUAAUAAUUGCAACUUAUGACGGUAUCGACAGAAGAAGCACCGGCUAACUACGUGCCAGCAGCCGCGGUAAUACGUAGGGUGCGAGCGUUAAUCGGAAUUACUGGGCGUAAAGGGUGCGCAGGCGGUUCUGUAAGUCAGAUGUGAAAUCCCCGGGCUUAACCUGGGAACUGCGUUUGAAACUACAGAGCUAGAGUGUGGCAGAGGGGGGUGGAAUUCCAUGUGUAGCAGUGAAAUGCGUAGAGAUAUGGAAGAACAUCGAUGGCGAAGGCAGCCCCCUGGGUUAACACUGACGCUCAUGCACGAAAGCGUGGGGAGCAAAC
Molecule: ribosomal RNA, 425 nt
Filed under: uncultured bacterium
Lineage: Bacteria
Description: bacterial SSU rRNA
Rfam family: Bacterial small subunit ribosomal RNA
Source: RNAcentral